Microcebus murinus (gray mouse lemur) is the source of this 1461-nucleotide non-coding RNA. The record is from RefSeq and is a predicted model, not a curated record. NCBI's taxonomy places the organism in Eukaryota, Metazoa, Chordata, Mammalia, Primates, Cheirogaleidae.
UGCCAGAAUGUGAAUUUCCAGGCCCUGUGGUAUUGCAUUUCAUUCAAAUCUGGAACAUCUGUGGUUGAUGUAUCUACUUACCAUGCACAGAAACCCUGACAGAAAGUACCUGGACACAGUAUUCCAUAUUAAUACUUUGGAAGCAGCAGGUCUAUGAUCCAUUCUCUCCCUUUCCCGAGGAAGGAGCGUGUUCCUAGGUUGCUGUCUCCCCUGAUUCACUCUGUGUGACUGAGGUCUACAUGCUGGCAUUCUCAAGAUGUGUACACAUGAGUUCUUUGGGAGAAGCUUUCAAAGACCUCCUCCUGCCCAGACAACCAAGUGAUGCUCUGGUGAGACCUUUUCUGACUUCGGCUCAGCUCCCGUCUCUAGUGGUCUACUGCACAGCCUCUCACUGUGGAAUCCCCUUGCUUGGCAGGCUGUCCCUGUAGACAGGGUACUACUGAGAUGGCUCAAACUGGCUACUCUGUGGGCACUUGACCUUCAGGAAACUCAUGAGUCUUGUGACUUAAAUUUCUGCAGUAUGGGUGGCUCCACCACCACCUGCACUCUCUGCCUUGCUUUCUUUUUUCCAGAUCUCUUUUUCUCAGUUAGACCCAGGGCAGAAGAUCAGCAAGUAUUCCACAGAAGUAGAUGCUCAAAAGGGAAGGAGAAGUUUGUUUCAGAUUUUGUCAGGUACUACAAAUCUCUACCUAUGAUUUUUGCAUCAUCCCCACAUUUGCUCUGUGUGUGUGUGUGUGUGUGUGUGUGUGUCUGUGAGUGAGUGUCAAGAAGGCAGAGCACAGCACAUUCUUCCUGGCUAACCCCACAACCUUGAGUUCUUGAUGUCUUCUGCAUAUGUAGGUUGGGGUGUGAGGUAAUAGUAGCGCUGGACCUACCAUCUCUCUGGUCAGUUCUGGGGGCAUAUCUGGGGUUCCUUAGUACAGUACUUCCCCUUAGCACAUGAGAGCACUUUGUGCCUAUGCACAGUCUGGAGGCUUUAACUCUGAGACAGCAGGAGAAAUCUCGUUGAACAUCAACUUCACAAACUCGGGAAUGAAUGGAGAAGCAGUGACAAAGGACAUGAAGUGAAUCUGAAUUUAUUUGAAUAGUUACUAAUUAUUGGAAUUAGAAUUAGAGAACAAAAUGUAAAGAUGUGAAAUCUUGAAAACAAAAAUGAUGGCUAACCAAUAUCAGAGGUUGGAGGGAAGAAAUAUGGAAGGAAUCAAAAGUGUCAAUUUUUUUAUCUUUCAUGACAAGGAGUCAACAGAUAAUUAUCCAAAAAUUGAACUGUGUGUUUAAGAAUUAUAAUUUUCAGUCUAUCAGUGUCGUUUUCCCCCCUUAAUUCUAUAUUUUUAAAUGUUAGGGGAGUGAUUGUUAACUAGAGCCAAUUUUGUCUCACCUUCCCCAGGGGACAUUUUGCCACUUCUGGAGACAUUUAGGUUGUCACAUUGAGGGAGGAGGAUGGUUGUGCUGGUGUCUUGU